Molecule: long non-coding RNA, 350 nt
Filed under: Piliocolobus tephrosceles (Ugandan red Colobus)
Lineage: Eukaryota; Metazoa; Chordata; Mammalia; Primates; Cercopithecidae
Description: lncRNA (ENSPTEG00000004627.1)
Source: RNAcentral
AUGGCAGAAAAAGAUCCCGUGGAAAGUAACAAUGAUACAUUAAACGAAACUGCUAUAUUUGAAGCGCUAACGAAUGUAACUGAAGGUAAUGUAGAAAAUAUGGAUGAAAACGGGUCACCCUUUAGUAGUAUUUUGCAAAAUCGUAGAUUAAUGGGAUUAGAAGGCGCAGCAAGCUUAGCUGUAUUAUAUUUGGUAUUUAUUGUUUGGAUGAUUAUUUUGAUAUUUUUAUAUUUGCUUAUAAGUCGGAGGCUUUAUGGAAUGCAAAGAUCGAAUAAAAAAAAAGUUGAUCGUCGUAGAAAGAGAUAAAGUCAUCGAAACGAAACAUGCAAUAAACAGAGAUACAUUUAACA